RNAcentral lists this ribosomal RNA (518 nucleotides) under uncultured bacterium. Its description in RNAcentral is "bacterial SSU rRNA". It matches the Rfam family "Bacterial small subunit ribosomal RNA", at positions 992 to 1509 of the family's 1533-position model. The record is from RNAcentral.
AGAACUUAGCAGAGAUGCUUUGGUGCCUUCGGGAACUCUGAGACAGGUGCUGCAUGGCUGUCGUCAGCUCGUGUUGUGAAAUGUUGGGUUAAGUCCCGCAACGAGCGCAACCCUUAUCCUUUGUUGCCAGCGGUCCGGCCGGGAAACUCAAAGGAGACUGCCAGUGAUAAACUGGAGGAAGGUGGGGAUGACGUCAAGUCAUCAUGGCCCUUACGAGUAGGGCUACACACGUGCUACAAUGGCGCAUACAAAGAGAAGCGACCUCGCGAGAGCAAGCGGACCUCAUAAAGUGCGUCGUAGUCCGGAUUGGAGUCUGCAACUCGACUCCAUGAAGUCGGAAUCGCUAGUAAUCGUAGAUCAGAAUGCUACGGUGAAUACGUUCCCGGGCCUUGUACACACCGCCCGUCACACCAUGGGAGUGGGUUGCAAAAGAAGUAGGUAGCUUAACCUUCGGGAGGGCGCUUACCACUUUGUGAUUCAUGACUGGGGUGAAGUCGUAACAAGGUAGGCGUAGCGAG